RNAcentral lists this ribosomal RNA (508 nucleotides) under uncultured bacterium. Its description in RNAcentral is "partial 16S ribosomal RNA". The record is from RNAcentral.
GGAGUUAGCCGGUGCUUCUUCUGUGAGUGAUGUCCUUCCUGCCGGCUAUUAACCCGCAGGCCUUCUUCCUCACUGAAAGUGCUUUACAACCCGAAGGCCUUCUUCACACACGCGGCAUGGCUGGAUCAGGGUUGCCCCCAUUGUCCAAUAUUCCCCACUGCUGCCUCCCGUAGGAGUCUGGGCCGUGUCUCAGUCCCAGUGUGGCUGAUCAUCCUCUCAGACCAGCUACGGAUCGUCGCCUUGGUGAGCCGUUACCUCACCAACCAGCUAAUCCGACAUAGGCUCAUCCGAUAGCGCGAGGCCCGAAGGUCCCCCGNUUUCCCCCGUAGGGCGUAUGCGGUAUUAGCCUGGGUUUCCCCAGGUUAUCCCCCACUACCCGGGCAGAUUCCUAUGCAUUACUCACCCGUCCGCCGCUCGCCACCAGGGAGCAAGCUCCCCGUGCUGCCGCUCGACUUGCAUGUGUUAGGCCUGCCGCCAGCGUUCAAUCUGAGCCAGAAUCAAACUCUGA